Carassius auratus (goldfish) is the source of this 333-nucleotide long non-coding RNA. RefSeq lists it as uncharacterized. The record is from RefSeq and is a predicted model, not a curated record. Lineage: Eukaryota; Metazoa; Chordata; Actinopteri; Cypriniformes; Cyprinidae. The transcript has 3 exons.
UCGCCAUUUUCUUUUUGCUCCAACAGACAGGCAACUUGGAUCAGUAAAUGUAUGCCAAUACUUAGUGAAAACUAAAACACUAACCAAUAUCAUGCUGGUUAAGGUGAAACUUGGGGAUGCCCAAAAAUUUGUCAAGAUAACCGAGCUGAGCCUGGAGGAAUUUCUAUCUGCGGGUAAAUAAAUAUAUACUUUCAUUGUAUUAUUUUAUGAUUUUUUAUUUUUAUUUUAUUUAAAUGUUACUUGAUGGAUGGCUAUAAUUUUAUAUAAGAAUAUAUAGUCAAAUGUUGCAUGUGCCCUGAUGUUCAAAGUUCAUCUUCGCUAUGUAAAACCUUU